CGUCCGAUCAAUGGUCGGUCCAGAUAUUGCCACAUAUCGUCAUCUGGUAGAUCUUCGAUUUGACCGUCUUCAUCUCGACCGUUAAGGGAUCCUAUAUACAGGGUCACUCUCAGCCAAAUUUUUAUUUUUUACUAUUUUUGAUGCUGGGACUCUGUCGGAUUGUUGCCCCAACGCCCAAGGUUAUCAUUCCCAACUUUCAGGUUAACUUCGACUUUCUUUCGAGUCCUUUCCUCUAAAGUCUCUGUCGUCUUCAGAGUUAUUCUCAUGGCUAGGGCUUCUCCUUCUCGGGA
This 290-nucleotide long non-coding RNA is filed under the name Elaeis guineensis (African oil palm). RNAcentral's name for it is "long non-coding RNA (EGUI_LNC028910)". Lineage: Eukaryota; Viridiplantae; Streptophyta; Magnoliopsida; Arecales; Arecaceae. The record is from RNAcentral.